RNAcentral lists this ribosomal RNA (338 nucleotides) under uncultured bacterium. Its description in RNAcentral is "partial 16S ribosomal RNA". It matches the Rfam family "Bacterial small subunit ribosomal RNA", at positions 338 to 673 of the family's 1533-position model. The record is from RNAcentral.
CCUACGUGCGGCAGCAGUGAGGAAUAUUGGUCAAUGGACGAGAGUCUGAACCAGCCAAGUAGCGUGAAGGAUGACUGCCCUAUGGGUUGUAAACUUCUUUUAUAUGGGAAUAAAAUGUUCCACGUGUGGGAUUUUGUAUGUACCAUAUGAAUAAGGAUCGGCUAACUCCGUGCCAGCAGCCGCGGUAAUACGGAGGAUCCGAGCGUUAUCCGGAUUUAUUGGGUUUAAAGGGGGCGUAGGUGGAUUGUUAAGUCAGUUGUGAAAGUUUGCGGCUCAACCGUAAAAUUGCAGUUGAAACUGGAUGUAUGGAGAAAAGGAGAGGGGGGAGGAAUGGGGGG